RNAcentral lists this ribosomal RNA (458 nucleotides) under uncultured bacterium. Its description in RNAcentral is "bacterial SSU rRNA". It matches the Rfam family "Bacterial small subunit ribosomal RNA", at positions 340 to 786 of the family's 1533-position model. The record is from RNAcentral.
UACGGAAGGCAGCAGUGGGGAAUAUUGCACAAUGGGCGAAAGCCUGAUGCAGCUAUGCCGCGUGUAUGAAGAAGGCCUUAGGGUUGUAAAGUACUUUCAUCGGGGAGGAAAAAACAAAACUAAUAAUUUUAUUUCUUGACGUUACCCGAAAAAGAAGCACCGGCUAACUCCGUGCCAGCAGCCGCGGUAAUACGGAGGGUGCUAGCGUUAAUCAGAAUUACUGGGCGUAAAGAGCACGUAGGUGGUUUUUUUAAGUUCAGAUGUGAAAUCCCUGGGCUUAACCUAGGAACUGCAUUUUGAAACUGAAAUACUAGAGUAUCGUAGAGGGAGGUAGAAUUCUAGGUGUAGCGGUGAAAUGCGUAGAUAUCUGGAGGAAUACCUGUGGCGAAAGCGGCCUCCUAAACGAAUACUGACACUGAGGUGCGAAAGCGUGGGGAGCGAAACAGGGAUUAGAUACC